CUCGGGAGAGAAGUGAGAUGGC
Molecule: microRNA, 22 nt
Filed under: Octopus vulgaris (common octopus)
Lineage: Eukaryota; Metazoa; Mollusca; Cephalopoda; Octopoda; Octopodidae
Also listed under: 1 other name
Description: Ovu-Mir-12517-P1_3p (mature (guide))
Source: RNAcentral